Molecule: long non-coding RNA, 744 nt
Organism: Macrobrachium nipponense
Lineage: Eukaryota; Metazoa; Arthropoda; Malacostraca; Decapoda; Palaemonidae
Exons: 3
Source: RefSeq, a predicted model, not a curated record
GUGACAUCACUCAGAACAGGUCACUUCGAAGACUUUCCGUGACACGUAAUUCGAAUCGCAGGUCAGUGUUCGACGAGGCAUCAUUUAGGUCACUCGUUACGAGAGAGGCUCUUUGAAAUGGCUGAAGCACAAGCCAAAGCAGACGUAAAGAUCGAAAUGGAACCUGCAGAUGGAAAUAAGCCGCGGAUCGAAAUAAAAUCUGCCGAUGGAAAUCAGCAGAUGAUCGCAGUGAGAUAUGAAAAUAACAGAAACCAAAGAAUUAAUAACAAAUGCCUCUCUUGCGUUUUGUGUUUCGUACGGGUCUGCCUCUUCACCUUGACAAUAACUGCUCUUGCCUUUUUGUACGUUGUUCGCACCACAGCCCUCCUGGUGUUCCUGGUGGUAACGCUCGCUUUUGCAUGCCCGUUACUCUGUUUGUGUGCUUGGAUAAUGUUACCAGUCCUGGUUCUCGACUGAGUGAUUAAGAGACCCCAGCUUCUGUAGACCUAUAAAUGCGUUUUUCUUUUUAACGGAGUGUAUAUAUAAUUUUUUUUAAUGGCACCUAAAUGUUUUACUUUUUGUUUUACAAUAAGCUAACGUUAGGCUUCUUUUGUUUUAUCUUUCCUCCAGAACCACUUGUCAUUAUUCUUAUUUUUCAACCAGGCAACAUAUUAACUGUAGCCCUACUUAUAUAGUGUUAAUAGUUACUUAAUACUUCAGAAAUUCACUUUAUGGUAAAAGAUUGUCCUCCUCUUGUUAUUAAGA